Molecule: small nuclear RNA, 176 nt
Organism: Aotus nancymaae (Ma's night monkey)
Lineage: Eukaryota; Metazoa; Chordata; Mammalia; Primates; Aotidae
Gene: U1
Rfam family: U1 spliceosomal RNA
About the family: U1 is a small nuclear RNA (snRNA) component of the spliceosome (involved in pre-mRNA splicing). Its 5' end forms complementary base pairs with the 5' splice junction, thus defining the 5' donor site of an intron. There are significant differences in sequence and secondary structure between metazoan and yeast U1 snRNAs, the latter being much longer (568 nucleotides as compared to 164 nucleotides in human).
Source: Ensembl
AUACUUACCUGGCAAGGCAGAUACCAUAAUCUUAAAGGCAAUUUUCCCAGUGCGAGGCUUAUCCAUUACUCUCUGGAUCCAUUACAGGGAUAUGCUGAUCCCUGUAAUUGCCCCAGAAGUGUAAAACUCAAUUGCAAAAUUUAUGGUAGUGGGUGACUGCGUUAUGCAUUCAUGUA